Molecule: long non-coding RNA, 13352 nt
Organism: Loxodonta africana (African savanna elephant)
Lineage: Eukaryota; Metazoa; Chordata; Mammalia; Proboscidea; Elephantidae
Exons: 3
Source: RefSeq, a predicted model, not a curated record
AAUCCUAGGGCCCUUAAGAAUUAUGCUAAAUCUAUUCUGCCUGUUCUCUAUAAAUGCAACAAAGCCUAGAUGACAGCAUAUCUGUUUACAACAUGGUUUACUGAAUAUUUUAAACCCACUGUUGAGACCUACUGCCCAGAAAAAAAUUCCUUUCAAAAUAUUACUGCUCAUUGACAAUGCACCUGGUCACCCAAGAGCUCUGAUGGAAAUGUACAAGGAGAUUAAUGUUUUCAUGCCUGCUAACACAACAUCCAUUCUGCAGCCCAUGGAUCAAGGGUUAACUUUGACUUUCAAGACUUGUUAUUUAAGAAAUACAUUUCUUAAGGCUAUAGCUGCCAUACAUGGUGAUUCCUAUGAUGGGUCUUCGCAAAGUAAAUUGAAAAUCUUCUGGAAAGGGUACACCAUUCUAGAUGCAAUUAAGAACAUUCAUGAUUCAUGGAAGGAGGUCAAAAUAUCAUCAUUAACAGGAGUUUGGAAGAAGUUGAUUCCAACUCUCAUGGAUGACUUCGAGGAGUUCAGGGCUUCAAUGGAGGAAGUAACAGUGGAUGUGAUGGAAAUAGCAAGAGAACUAGAAUUAGAAGUGGAGCCUGAAGAUGUGACAAUUGCUGCAAUCUCAUGAUAAAAUUUUAACAGAUGAUGAGUUGCAUCUUAUGGAUGAGCAAAGAAAGUGGUUUCUUGAGGAGGAAUCUACUCCUGGUGAAGAUGCUGUGAACAUUGUUGAAAUGACAACAAAGGAUUUAGAAUAUUACAUAAACUUAGUUGAUAAAGUAGCAGCAGGUUUUCAGAGGAUUGACUGCAAUUUUGAAAGAAGUUCUGUGGGUAAAAUGCUAUCAAACAUCAUCACAUGUUACAGAGAAAUCUUUCACGAAAGUAUGAGUCCACCGAUGUGGCAAACUUCAUUGUUGUCUUAUUUUAGGAAGUUGCCACAGCCACCCCAACCUUCAGCAACCACUUCCCUGAUCAGUCAGCUGUCAUCAGCAUCAAGGCAAGAUCCCCCAGCAAAAAGAUUACAACUCCCUGAAGGCUCAGAUGAUGAGAUGGUAGGAAAGCCCUGAUCCUGGACCUGAUACUACAGCUAUUCAUGUGGACCAGUGACGAACAACACAUGGGACUGUAGCAUGUAACUCUCCUGGACUCCAGUGCAGCUGCACAGCUUACAAGCAGUCCUUCUACCACAGACGCUGCAUCCACAGAAACUCAUCAAUCUCUUGGCCUCCCUGUGUGAAAAAGAAACUUUCCAGCUAGCCACAGAAAAAGUCUUCCUUGGACAUCAGGCUGUGCAUCAUCAGCUGAAACCCUGUGGGCUCAGGUCUCCCAAAUUUCUCCUCCUGAUUCCAGAUCCUGGGAUACCCACACUCAGAGGCUUAGCCUUGACUCCCUUCCCUCUUCCCCUCCUCUCUUCCCUAGUAGGAAGGUCUGUCCCUGUCUUCAGAUAUAUCUCCAAUGACCUUCACACCAUCCUGAAUUCAGCUGUGGCAUCUUUGCAGAACAUCUCCCUUGCAGAACAUCCCCCUUGCCUGUGGCCUGGCUCAUCCUUCUCCUAAGAAGUUUCCCCAAAGCUGCUGCUAAUAUAGAGAGAGGAGAAACUACUUUCUACUGAAUACCAAAUGUAACCAAUAUAUUGGGCAGUCUGAGCUUAGUGAAAAACAAACAAGAAAUGGCUUUAUUUUUCUCAAGCAACUGCCCUCAGACAUGCCCAGUCAGACCUCUCUGACAUCUUCAGGCAAUGCAGAACUUUCUGGUGAAUAACUUUCAUGUAUGAAGAGCCUCGGAUUCCAGAUAAAGAUAUGAACUCUCGCCUCUAAUCCUGUUCCUUCUCCAAAUCCUGCUAAAAUGGCAUUGAGGAGAUUUUUAAAGGCACAAACCCACAAGAUGUGGAGAACAGGAAAGGAAACAGCAACAGUGCAGUGGAAGGGGGCACGGUAUCUGUCAGGCAUGUGUCUGAAGUACACUUCACUGAGUUCACUUUCACAACAGCAGUUCAAGAGCUCCCAGAUUCACACAGGACUUUAUAACCAAGAAAACAAAAGAAAGAAAGAAACCUGGAAAGCAUUUGGACGAGUGGUAAUUGAUCUUAACUAAACAGGAAGUGGAAAAAGCUGAGCGCCAACCAGUAUCUCAUACCUUUGUGAGUAGGGUGGCUUGAUGGGUAAAAUAAGGAAGAUUGUUUGAAAGCUGAUUAAGAAAUUGUUAGACAAAAAGAGUACGUACUAUAUGAUUUCAUUUAUAUAAAACUCUAGAAAAUGUAAACUAAUUUAUAGUGACAGAAAACUGAUCAGUGGUUACUUGGGAUGGAGCCUGGAGGAGAAUGAAUAUAAAGAGGCAUGAAAAAACUUGAGGGCAAUGAAUAUGUUCACGCUCUUGACUGUGGUGAUGGUUUCAUGGGUAUAAGUCAAAACAUAUACACAUGUGUAGCUUAUUAUAUGUCAGUUUUACCUCAGUAAAGCUGUUGUUUUUCUUUUGUUUUGUUUUAAUGGCAAGGCUGUGGGGAAAUUCUCAUUUGUUGCUAAUUGGCUCGGUCUUUUUGGAGAGCCUGGAUAAUAAUAAAAAUGACAUUAACAGAAAAGGGGAAAAAAGAAAUUGUUAGAGAUCCAAACCUUCUUUCCCCAUUCUAGCAUACAACAGGAAGUUUAGUCUGUAAAAAUUGUAAAAUAAAGAGUCUUUGGACAGGGGAACACCAGGCACGUUUGAAUGUGGAAGAAAGUACUGAAAUAGGAUGAAUAAUGAAAGCAUGCACAUGUAAUGUUGAUAAUCCUAUGUUCUCCCCCACACUACUUGCAGAAGGCUAUUGUUAAGCCUUUAUCCCUCAGGCAGGAAAGUAAAAGAGCCUUCCCUGGGGAAUCAGGGCAAUAUUAAUAUUAGUGGUUCCCCAACCCAGUGGCUUUGCCAGAUUCAUCCAACAACAAGGCUCACAAUCAACAAGGCAUACUUGUACUCAGAACUUCCAAUCAGGUUUUUAGUUGCCUGUUGUUAAAUAUAAGCAGAAAACCAAGGAUUACUAAACAUCUGCAGAAAGUUGUAACAAGACCGAGAUCAAAACAAAUUGAUUUUUUUUUAAUGAGGUAGAGGAAAGAAACUACACAAAGAGAAGAAAACUUUAAAAAGUAAAAAAGUUUUGUAUCUUCAGAGUAAUAAGAUAGUAGAACCAUUAAACAAGAAUAAAAUACUACAGGAAAUAAGUAGGGGAAAAUAUUCAAAGAACAAAAAAAUAUGAUAAGAGAAUGAAAACUCAAUAGUUUCAUUGAGUUGGGAAAUAAAGUUGAGGAAAUCUCCCAGAAAGUAAAGCCAAAGGUUAGAGACUUGGAAAAUAGGAGAGUAUUGAUAAGAAUAUUAGAGAACAGAUCCAGGAGGUUCAGCAGAUAAAAACAGAGGUUCCAGAAAAUGAGACAAGAGGAUAAAAACGUAGAGGAGAAAAUAAUCAAUUUUUUGAAAACUUGAAGGACAUGAAUUUCCACACUGAAAUGGCCCAUUCAUUCUUUAUGCAUAUCAUAAUGAAUGAAAAAAGCCCCACACUACCAAAUUUCAGAACGCUGAGGAUAAAGAGACAGCCCUACAAUUUUCCAGAGACAAAACAAGUCACAUGGAAAGAAUCAGACAUUUGAAUGGUGUCGGACUUCUCAGCAGCAAUAUUGGAAGCUAGAGGAAAUUGGAGCAAUGCCUUCAACAUCAUGAAGGGGAAUUAUUUCCAACCUAGAAUUCUAUUUCCAGCCAAACUAUCAACUAACUGGCAGGGUAGAGUAAAGACAUUUUCUGGCAAACAAGUUCUAAAAAUUUAUUUUGUAUGCAUCUUUUCCCAAGAAGCCACUGAUGAAACAAAAGUGAGUAAAUGAUGACAGGGGAAUACAUGGGAAACAAGCAGCAGAAGACCCAAUGCAGGAGUGAGAUGAAGGCAAUUCUGGCAGUGAAGGGAGAUCCCAAGAUGAAGCUGUGCCCACCAGUAAAGGGAGCCACCAAUCCAAAUCAGAGCAGUUUGAGAAGACUUUUAGAAAAAGAUUUUUUUCUAAGAUUAAAAAAGAAUUGCUGAAUGCAUCUGAAUAUCCUGAGUAGAUUUGAAAAUUAGUGGAAAAUUUAAAGUUGAAUUAAUGAUAAUCAGAGGUGGAUUUACUGUGAAGCUAAUCAAGCUUAAAAUUCAGGACACUUUACCUGCAAGGGCCCUUUCCAAGGCCCUUGUACCUAUUUUGUAUUUGUAAUUUUACAUUUGUUUUCUUUAAAAGGGCUACCAAGAUAAAAUAUAUGCAGCCCUGGUGAUAAGUACAUAGAAAACUAAGCAAGUAAAAAAAGGUAAUUAUUAACUCAUGGGAAAAUAAAAUGUUGGACUGGAAAGGAAAAGUACAUAGUUUGACAAAUGGCUCAUCUCUGAAUAGCAUUUACAUAUUCAUAAUAAUAUAAACACUGAUUAUCGAUCUAAGAAAAUUAAGAUGUAACUAUAUUAGGAGAGGGGUCCCUGGGUGGUGUAAAUAGUUAAGCAGUCAACUACUAGCCAAAAGUUUGACAGUUCAAACCCACCCAGGGGCAUCUCUGAAGAUAGGCCUGGCAAUCUAUUUCUGAAAACCCUGUGGAGCAGUUCUCGUCUCACACACAUGGAGUCACCAUGAGUCAGAAUCGAUUCGAAGGCACCUAACAACAACAGCAAAAUAUUAGAAUGAGCCAAUAGGAAAAGUGGAAGUAUGUGGUUGAGACUGGGGCCAGAAAAAAACCUAAAUCCUUAUUUUCCAACCUGCAGAGACAAUUGUCAAUGCCUAAAAGAAGUAUCAGUGCAAGCCUACCAUUAAGAAAAAAUGGAUUAUAUACCAAAUGGGGAAGGAUAGAAGGGAAAAAGGACAGGAGUUUGAUUUUUUUUUUUUUUUGGUAACAAAUCUAACAGAAUGGAAUGACUCUUUACCUACAUACAGAGCUCUGUGCUAUUAUAUAAAAAAAAAAAUACUGGAUUCUAAAAGAGAAGAAAAACAGUCUCACUUCAGUAACUAAAAUUCUCUUCCAGAUUAGUCGACCUAUUCUAAAUCAAAAUUUCAACUUUAUAUUCAUAAUCAAAACUUAAAUCCCACAGGUGAUCAUUACACCAAUUCCUUACUCUGAAAAGUAGAAAUCAAAGAGAAAAUAAUUUAACAUUGUGUGUGUGUGUGUGUGUGUGCGCAUGUGUGUGUGUGUGAAGGAAGCGUGACAAAGUAUCGAGGGUCAUUGGUUUAGGAAGAUGAUGUUCAUUGUGCAACUCUUUCAACUUAUUUGUAUGUUUGAAAAAACUCAUAAGAAUUAGGGGUGUGCUAAAAAACCAAAACCAAACCCAUUGAUGUCAAGUUGAUUCCCAGUCACAGCGACCCUAAUAGGACAGAGAAGAACUGCCCCAUAGGGUUUCCAAAGAGCACCUGGUGGGUUCAAACUGUCAACCUUUUGGUUAGUAGCCAAACCCUUAGCCACUACACCACCUGGGUACUCGCAGACUUAAAUUUUUCUGAGGUGUUCAGACCAAGCUCCUCAUGAAGGAUUAACCCUCACCACUUAUGAGUGAACAAGGAGAUCUUGUGAUGACUCCUGGAAAGUAUGUGGCUAGAAUGUCAAACGCCUGCUCUCAGAAAAUGUUUGCACAGGUUGGUUUCAGGAAACAUGUAAUGAAAAAAGUUCAUUAUCAACUAGUGUUUGGAGAAGGUCGCGUUAUAGAUCAUGGUCUCGCUUCAAAACCUUAUGGUAUUUCCUCAAUUUAGAAUAUAAAAGUACCCUUGUUCUGCAUGCUUGUUGGAGCACUUUGUAUUUUUAUCUUGUGCUGUCCAGUUAUAGCUGUUAUUAUUCCUCAAUAAAACUCUUUUUCUUUCACUUCUAACAAAGUAUGAGAUUUUCUCUGACAUUUCUGGUGUCAGAAGUGGGACUUCGAAGGUAUAUUGUCUUUUCCAAUUCCCGAGGCAUUGAGGACACAGACAUGGUACUACUGAGCCUCUUUGGGCUGUCCACCUCCACUAAUUCUUGGGAAUAAUUUAAAGUAAAAAAUCCCCUUGAAUCCAAGCUCCACUCCCUUGCACUGAUAGCUCCUCAAGUUUUGUUAUAGAAUUGUUUUGGUUCUUGCAAGCAAAAGUUUGUUUUGCUGCAGUGUGAACCCCAAUAUUUCUUGUGGGUUUGGUGAAUCGUAGCACUUAGGGCUGUCUCAUUGUGGGGUAUACUGAAUCCAGGAAAGCAGCUGAUUUUUCUAGUGGAACUCUGGCUUGCUACAUGGCCAAGAACUAUGAAUCUAGGUCUUUUUUGUAUUUGGAUUUUUGCUUGAGCUCCAUAAAAACGGUUUGUUAAAUCAGUGGCCACUUUAGGAUACUUCCCAACUGGAGAGACUAGUAUAUUUAAAGCCUAAAAUAAGAGACUGGGUCUCUAUCUGGCAGAAUGAAUUAGGUUCAGAAAGAAUGAAACCAGGUUUCCUAUGGUUGUUACAAAGGAAUCCCAGACUGUUUAAGUGGCAAAAAUAUGUGGGCAUAGGUCAAGCAUCUUAGAUGCCCUUAUAGCACUCACCACAGACAGAAAGACACCUGUGAAAGGAUAAGCUGGGACAUGAGAUGGGCCAGAGCACGAGGCUGCCCACCAGCUGCAAGGAAACUGUCAUGCAAUGGAGGCACACUGUAAAACAAAACACUGACCAAACUCCCUGGUAGGACUUUUAUUUGACUCUGGGAAACCAAAGUUUCAAGCUAUUCUUAACAUUCUUGAUAAAUGAGCCUGGAUUUCUCCCUUCUCCCAGGAUGCUGGUUUGAGGUUCAUGUUCAAAAACACUAUAAGCUAAAUAUACUAGAAGUAACUUGAAAUUUCAGUGAUCACUUCGGGAAAAUGAGUUUCCAUCUGCUCUUUUUUUCAUUCCAUUUUGAGAAAAGGAGUUCCAAUUUGCCUUGUCUUUUCUUUCCUCUGGGGAAACUUUGGUGCUCAGGUUUUGUCGGGGGGUCUGAUAUCCCUCCAACUGAGACUCAUGCAAGUUAAUAGGCUUUAUCUAGAACCUGUUUUUCUGUUGAAUUGGCUCAACCUUACCAAAGAAUUGCUGUACACAUUUUUAGAAACUGAGUUGUUUAUGUUGUGUGGUAUUGUAUAAGCCUGAUUUUUCAGCUGGCCUCAUAGGUCAGGGAGUUUAUGUGAUUUUUCUGUUUCUUUUUGUUCUGAGAGCUUGCUUCUGGUCUAAGAUGUUCUGUCCGAGUGUUUGUCUUGUAUCAAGUUGGAGGCCAUGGCUAGCAGUUGCUGUUUUUCAUGAGGCUGCCUUAAAUCUCCAUUCUUUUCUCUUCCAAGAGAAACUGCACCUGUCUUAUGAUCUGAGCUUUUAAUAACUACUUUGAGAAACUUUUAUAUAAAAUAAUCUAUUUGAAAAAUCCACUGGAAAAGGAUGAAUUAUUUUGAUUAGUAUAAUGAGGCUUUAAAAGGACAAAUUAUUCUAAAUUGGUUCUCCAAAGGAUCCUAUAAAGCAUGCAAAAGGCGGGGUUAUGAAAAUGUAAUAAUUCCCUAUCUCCAGAUGGCACUAUUAAAUUAGAUUAUAACAUUUCUUCAAAGAACUUACUCUGAUCAGUUUAAUGAUUAAUAAGCUUUUAUAUAACUUAAAUAGUGCUAAUAUUCCUAGGAAUUAAUGAAAAUAAAUUCAUUCUGACAAAGGUUUUUAUGUUUAUGUCAACCUUGGAAGCAAAAUCUUAAGAGUAAAACCUUUCUAAGUAACUUAAGCUAGAAAUGCAUUUUAUUUAGGGAAAAAGAAGUAAUUUUUAUUAACUCCAGAAUGAAAAGAAUUUAGGUAUCUCUUGUCUUUCAAAACACUUAGGCCAACUUAAACAUACGUAAAUGAAUUGAGAUAACAGAGUCUUUCUUGAUAAUGAGCCUUUGAGACCCAGGCUGCUCCAUAGAAGGUUUUGAAAAGACCCCUCCCAACCAAAUGAAAACUUUUUUUAGACAAAAGAAAAUAAGAUAAAUAAUGUGGACAUUAACGAGGUCUGAAAUAAGAAAAAUGCCUUCUUAAUGCAGUUACUGGAAAUUGGGUGGCUUCUCAACAUAAAAAAAAAUGGACAAAUCUAUUGGGAAAAUACAAAAAAUGGUAAAGAUUUGAAUAUAAAUAUAGACUAUUUAAACAAAUUUUACCUUAACAGUAAUUAUGUUUUGUAGUAGCUAGGCUUGAAUUAAUUUCCAAGAUUUUUAGGUAAGUUAUAUUAAGUUAAUGGAUAUUCAUUAUAAUUGUAGUUUAUAGCCUCUUACUUUUUAUGUCACAAAGAAAGGAUAUGUAUGUGUGUGUGUGUGGUAAUAAGUGUGUUCAUACUUGCCACUUACAAGGCUGUACUAUAAGAGAUAUGUAACAAACACAAGAAAUUUAAAAGAUUUAUUAAAAGUGAAUUUAUUUCAUAUGGUCAGAGUUCUUAUUUACUGCAGCUAAAAGUCUGAUGGGUUAAUGACAAUUUUUAAGAGAUUUAAUGUCAAGUAGUAUAUAAGGCAAAGAAGGGUUUCUCACUGUUAAGAUGACAAAAUCCUAUUUGAUUGCUGGUUUGAAGAGCUAAUUUUAUUCUUUGCACAAUCUGCCUUGAAGGCAAGGGUUUGACAAUAUAAAUCCCUGAGUCAAAAACCAAGCCACAUGGCUUUGGAAAAAGCUAGGGUUUUUAUCUCUAAGAUUUUUGGUUAAAUAACUCCAGUAUUUUUUCUUGGUGACCUAUGAUAAGCUUCUGACAACUUUGAAACUUCAUGGAAAGUCACAAAAUAUUUGUCUCUGUUUUAUAAAAAUUGCUUUAAAAAAAAGUUUACUUAAUGUGUUAUGAGUUACCUGAAACACGUUGUCAAAUCAGGAGACGUGCCAAAUCUUGUUUGAGUUAAAAUUUAUGUGUCAGUAAUGUUUGCCUGAUGUUAGACAACAAGCACAUUAUGUCAUAAUUUUAUUAUUUCAAUUACUAACUUGAUUGCAGCUUUGUUUCCUUUGAAUCUAGCAUCAAAGCCAUUGAUUUUAAACGAGGAAUUCACAUAAUUUACCCAUGGAGUUUUAUUACUAUUCAGAUGUUUAGAGACUUGAUAAUCUUGGUAUAUCUUGACUAUUUGUUAUUAUUCUCAAGAUUACUAUGUGUUAUAUCUGAAAUUCCUUGAAAAUAAUUUAGUCAUUAUGUUUAGAGAUAUUUUUGUGUAAAUUUUUUUAAUUGACCUUAUUUGGCUUUGCAUUACUUUUGUAAUUAAUUCCAUUAGCCCAUUUGCUUUUAAGAAUUAGUAUUAUAAGUUCACCAGGGACAUUUUUAAGUUGUCAUCUGCAGAUAAGUUUUCUGUUACUGAUUCACUGAAAAUGCUUGACCAAAAUAUUUCAACAAAAAUGGAGUAUAUCUCACUUGUGAAGAGGACUAUAGCAUUUCAAAAGUGGAUAUAAUUGGACUAAAUCAAGAUUUCUAGAACUUUUAUGUAGAAACUGAUGGAAGUUUUCAGGCUGCUGCUGAUCCAGAAUUGCAUGGAACUGAAAUUAACUAUAUAGGGCUGAGUAAACUAAAAGAAUUACUAUAAUCUUUAUAUGAGAAUAUUGCUGAUGUUCAAUGUUCUAUUUUCUAGCUACAAGAAACCAUUCUUUUUCUUUCCCUCUUUUAAUGUAAAAAUCCUCUAUUUCAGUAACUAGUAACACUAUGCUGACUACAGAAUAUCCUAUGGUAAUGAUUUUUCUCAUCUCCUGAUUCUUGCUAUUUCACUAGCCCAAAUGGCAUAUCUUGGUUAUAUAGCUAACCUUUGAACUUGGCCCCCACCUAGAUGGAUUAUUAGAUGUACUAUAGGAUUGAGCUGGACCCAAGAUCAAAUACUAACUGACUUACCUCUGUCAGUUGAUAGCCUCCUUUUAAGAGCUCUUUAGUCCAGAUCUAUAUUUCAAUGGUAUAAUCAUUUGACUUCUAUUUUUGUACCUCAAAUAGGAUUAGAAUAUGUCAUGGCACAAGUCAAAGUUCUGACUAAAUACAUUCAGAGUGUUUUAAAUGAUUCCACCCAUGAGCUCCAAGAAAAGAAUACUGAAAUGACUAUGAUGAGAGAAGUACUUCCUCAAAACUGAAUGGCCCCCGAUAUUCUUACUACUGCACCAAGAGACAUCUGUGCCACUAUGAAAAUUGAUUGUUAUGUUUAUAUUCCUGGUAAUAGUACUAAUAUCAUUCACUAUGUUUCCCAUAUGCAACGCAUAGUGUCAAAUUGCAAAGAUCCUGUUCUUUUCUUAACUGAUAUUAUAAGUAAUUGGUUUUCUACUCGGAGUAGAUAAUGGAAAAAAAAAAAAAGCUGCUUUAUUUUGAAAUCUUUAUAUUACUCAUAGUUUCUAUUAUUGUAAUUAUAAAAUGCUAUACUACUUUUUUUUUUUAUACUACUUUAGUUCAAUGCAUUUUAUUCAUGAAAUAUCAAGGUUGUGCUGGACGAUAGGAUUAUUCUUGAUUUCCUACUGGCCUGGCAAAGUGGAGUCUGCACCAUCGCCAAUACCUCUUGCUGUACUUGGAUAAACACCACAGGAAAAGUAGAAUAAGAUAUAAGGAAAAUCCACCAAAAGGCUACUUGGUUAUACUCUAUACCUCCUAGAUAUUUUCAGUUGGUUACCUAAUUGUAUUGGUUCCUGGUUGCAAUCUAUGUUACAAACUAGAAUAGUUAUUUUAAUUGUCACAGUAAUUAUUGUAGGCUUAGCCAAAUGCUCUAUGAAAUGCCUGUGUAAUACUUGUAACAUGCCAAAAACUUUCCUUCCUAUGCAUAGAGUUUUGUAUUUUGAAGAAACUUAUACUCUGCCACAUCCAAUCUGAAAUAGCCUUUCGUUAUAAAACUUUUUACAAACAUUUUUUCAAACACUCUUCAUUUCUUGAAGUGCUGCAUUUUAACCCCAAUUGCCUGAGUGGCCUGGAAUUGUUCCUCCAAUGCGGUCUAGCUGCUGUAACAACCGCAGUAAAUUUAGCUUAUCAAGAAAAACAAAAUAAAUCUGGCCAACCAAAACCCUUUCAGGAAAAUGCGAUCAAAGUCCUUGCAGAAGAAAGUUUUCUCCAUUGUGGGUGAUCGAUGCCCCCUAGCAGGGAAUUGAUCAAAAAGGGGGAAUGUACUAGCAGACUUAAAUUUUUCUGAGAUGUUCACACCAAGCUCCCAAUGAAGGCUUAAUACUCACCACUUAUAAGCAAGCAAGGACAUCUUGUGGUCAUUCCUGGAAAGAGUAUGGCCAGAAUGUCAAAGUCCUGCUCUCAGAAAAUGUUUGCAGAGAUUGUUAUCAGGAAACACGUAAUGAAAAAAGUUAAUUAACUAGUGUUUGGAGAAGACUGCAUUAUAGAUCAUGGUCUCACUUCAAAACCCUAUGGUACUUCCUCAAUUUAGAAUAUAGAAGUACCCUUGUUCUGCAUGCCUGUUGGAGCACUUUGUGUUUUUACCUAGUGCUGCCUAGCUAUAGCUAUUAUUCCUCAACAAAACUCCUUUUCUUUUACUUUGAAGAGAGUACAGGAUUUUCCUAUUUGAAAGGGGUGCAGGGUAAGGAAGGAAGAAGAAGAACAACCCCACAUGCAAUUCAAAGUUUCUCACCUUGCACUAGCUCGACCUGGCCUAUGGCUCUGGGAAAGAGGGGCACGUCUGUUCCUCACUCUUUCUUCACCUCCAUUCCCUCCAUCUUUUCAUUUGGAGCCUAGGAAGAAGAACUGGUAAAUGGGGAAAGCCUUCCCUACCUGGGUCUCCAGUGACAUUGCCAGUGAGACCUAGCCUUCACUGUGGGGUGGGAGUGCCCAGCUGAGGCCUAGUUCAUGCCCUCAGCUUGGAUACAACACAUCCAGCCAUGUCUGAUGAUUUGUGGGACAAACAGCAGGAAGUCAUGAUAUGUAUGCAGGGGUGCAGAGAGUGUGCAGAGGAUGAGGAGGUGACAAAAUAGUAUGGCACCUUCCUUUAGUGGGUCUCUCUGUUUAAGCACUGGAAAUCAUGGAGAAAGAGAGCAGAGCAGUUAUUUUCACCAGAGACUCUGUGAGACAUGGUGCCCAGGACACAGAAGGGGUAGGGACAUGUCUCCCUUCUUCUGCACUGAUGCAGAAUAGCCUUGGUGCCUUUACACACACACACAUCUCUGGCCCCUCAGAGGACAGCUACUCUGGGAGCACACAGAGACAGGCCUCUGGCAAGGAUGCCAGUAUCCUUUUUUGGUCACUGACAGCAAGGCCAAUGCUGGUGCCCUCACAAACAUCAGAGGCAGCUCCCAGAAACUGCAGCAGCAGUGCUGUGUGGGGAUGACGGCCGCUAGACUGAUUUAUGAUUUAUGAGUAUAUGUGAGAUACCUUCUGAGGACUUUAAAAUAUGUCUAAGUGAGACUAACAGGAAGCUUUGAGUUCUUGGUAAGAAGAGGACAGGAGCCUGGAAAACCAGAAUUAUUACUGUUACUAAGAUUCCCUUCCACCCACACAAUUGUGAGGCUCAGAAAAUCUUUGUUCUUUUUUCUCUUUUUGUUUUUCUAUAUAUAGGCUUUUUAAUAGCUUUAUUGAGGUAUAAUUAAUGUACAAAUGUAUACAAUUCAGUAAUUUUGACAUGUGUAGUCUAAACUGACUUGACAGCAACUGGUUUUAUACACCAGUGAAAUGAACACCCUAAUCAAGAUAAUGAACUUAUCCAGUACUCCCAAAAGUUUCCUCAUGCUCUUUUCUAAGUCCUUCCUCCUGCCCUUCCCUGUCUCCCAACCCCAGACAAGGUCUAAUGGUUUCUGUCCCUUUAAACUUGCUUGCAUUUUCUAGAAUUUUGCCUAAGUAGAAUCACUUGGUGUGUAUUCUUUUGUGUCUUGCUUCUUUCAGCAAAAUUUGAGAUUCGUCUAUGUUUUUGUAUGUAUCAAUAGUCAACUCAUUUUUUUUUAUUAACUUUUAUUGAGCUUCAAGUGAACAUUUACAAAUCAAGUCAGUCUGUCACAUAUAAGUUAAUAUACAUCCCACUCCCUACUCCCACCUGCUCUCCCCCUAAUGAGUCAGCCCUUCCAGUUUCUCCUUUCGUGAACACUUUGGCAGCCUCCAACUCUCUCUAUCCUCCCAUCCCCCCUCCAGACAGGAGAUGCCAACACAGUCUCAAGUGUCCACCUGAUAUUAUUAGCUCACUCUUCAUCAGCAUCUCUCUCCCACCCACCGACCAGUCCCUUUCAUGUCUGAUGAAUUCUCUUCGGGGAUGGUUCCCGUCCUGUGCCAACAGAAGUUUUGGGGACCAUGACUGCCGGGAUUCCUCUAGUCACAUCCAGACCAUUAAGUGUGGUCUUUUUAUGAGAAUUUGGGGUCUGCAUCCCACUGAUCUCCUGCUCCCUCAGGGGUUCUCUAUUGUGCUCCCUGUGAGGGCAGUCAUCGAUUGUGGCCAGGCACCAACUAGUUCUUCUGGUCUCAGGAUGAUGUAGGUCUCUGGUUCAUGUGGCCCUUUCUGUCUCUUGGGCUCUUAGUUGUCGUGUGACC